This 253-nucleotide ribosomal RNA is filed under the name uncultured bacterium. RNAcentral's name for it is "partial 16S ribosomal RNA". It matches the Rfam family "Bacterial small subunit ribosomal RNA", at positions 524 to 776 of the family's 1533-position model. The record is from RNAcentral.
UACGUAGGGCGCAAGCGUUGUCCGGAAUUAUUGGGCGUAAAGAGCUCGUAGGCGGUCUGUCGCGUCUGCUGUGAAAACCCGAGGCUCAACCUCGGGCCUGCAGUGGGUACGGGCAGACUAGAGUGCGGUAGGGGAGAAUGGAAUUCCUGGUGUAGCGGUGGAAUGCGCAGAUAUCAGGAGGAACACCGAUGGCGAAGGCAGUUCUCUGGGCCGUAACUGACGCUGAGGAGCGAAAGCGUGGGGAGCAAACAGG